Molecule: ribosomal RNA, 112 nt
Filed under: Patescibacteria group bacterium
Lineage: Bacteria
Source: RNAcentral
GUGUUUAUCGAGAGUGGGGUACACCUGUUCCCAUACCGAACACAGUAGUUAAGCCACUCAUCGCCGAUGGUACUUGGGCUUCUGGCCCUGGGAGAGUAGGUCGACGCCAAGA